AGAAUCAACGCUGGCGGCGUGCCUCAGACAUGCAAGUCGAACGAUUAAAGCUCUCUUCGGAGAGUGUAUAGAGUGGCGCACGGGUGAGUAACACGUAAGUAAUCUACCUUCGAGUGGGGAAUACCGUCCGGAAACGGACGCUAAUACCGCAUAAUGCAGCGGCAUCGUAAGAUGACAGUUGUUAAAGAAUUUAUUUCGCUUGAAGAGGAGCUUGCGGCAGAUUAGCUAGUUGGUAAGGUAAUGGCUUACCAAGGCUACGAUCUGUAACCGGUCUUAGAGGACGGUCGGUCACACUGACACUGAAUAACGGGUCAGACUCCUACGGGAGCAGCAGUCGGGAAUUUGGGCAAUGGCGAAAGCCUGACCCAGCAACGCCGCGUGAAGGAUGAAGUA
Molecule: ribosomal RNA, 393 nt
Filed under: uncultured soil bacterium
Lineage: Bacteria
Description: bacterial SSU rRNA
Rfam family: Bacterial small subunit ribosomal RNA
Source: RNAcentral